RNAcentral lists this transfer RNA (74 nucleotides) under Candidatus Megaera endosymbiont of Hartmannula sinica. Its description in RNAcentral is "tRNA-Gly". It matches the Rfam family "tRNA". Rfam says of the family: Transfer RNA (tRNA) molecules are approximately 80 nucleotides in length. Their secondary structure includes four short double-helical elements and three loops (D, anti-codon, and T loops). Further hydrogen bonds mediate the characteristic L-shaped molecular structure. tRNAs have two regions of fundamental functional importance: the anti-codon, which is responsible for specific mRNA codon recognition, and the 3' end, to which the tRNAs corresponding amino acid is attached (by aminoacyl-tRNA synthetases). tRNAs cope with the degeneracy of the genetic code in two manners: having more than one tRNA (with a specific anti-codon) for a particular amino acid; and 'wobble' base-pairing, i.e. permitting non-standard base-pairing at the 3rd anti-codon position. Lineage: Bacteria; Pseudomonadati; Pseudomonadota; Alphaproteobacteria; Rickettsiales; Rickettsiaceae. The record is from RNAcentral.
GCGGGUGUAGCUCAGUGGUAGAGCUCCAGCCUUCCAAGCUGAUUGCGUGGGUUCGAUUCCCAUCACCCGCUCCA